This 380-nucleotide ribosomal RNA is filed under the name uncultured eukaryote. Its description in RNAcentral is "partial 18S ribosomal RNA". It matches the Rfam family "Eukaryotic small subunit ribosomal RNA", at positions 592 to 976 of the family's 1831-position model. The record is from RNAcentral.
CAAUAGCGUAUAUUAAAGUUGUUGCAGUUAGAACGCUCGUAGUCGGAUUUCGGGGCGGGCCGACCGGUCUGCCGAUGGGUACGCACUGGUCGGCGCGUCCUUCCUUCCGGAGACCGUGCCUACUCUUAACUGAGCGGGGGCGGGAGACGGAUCGUUUACUUUGAAAAAAUCAGAGUGUUUCAAGCAGGCAGCUCGCUCUUGCAUGGAUUAGCAUGGGAUAAUGAAAUAGGACUUUGGUGCUAUUUUGUUGGUUUCGAACACCGAAGUAAUGAUUAAAAGGGACAGUCAGGGGCACUCGUAUUCCGCCGAGAGAGGUGAAAUUCUCAGACCAGCGGAAGACGAACCACUGCGAAANCANNNGCCAGGGAUGUUUUCACNGA